RNAcentral lists this transfer RNA (75 nucleotides) under Alphaproteobacteria bacterium. RNAcentral's name for it is "tRNA-Val". It matches the Rfam family "tRNA". Rfam says of the family: Transfer RNA (tRNA) molecules are approximately 80 nucleotides in length. Their secondary structure includes four short double-helical elements and three loops (D, anti-codon, and T loops). The record is from RNAcentral. Lineage: Bacteria; Pseudomonadati; Pseudomonadota; Alphaproteobacteria. RNAcentral also lists the same sequence under 3 other names.
GGGCGCAUAGCUCAGUGGUAGAGCACUACGUUGACAUCGUAGGGGUCAGAGGUUCAAACCCUCUUGUGCCCACCA